This 139-nucleotide ribosomal RNA is filed under the name uncultured eukaryote. Its description in RNAcentral is "partial 18S ribosomal RNA". It matches the Rfam family "Eukaryotic small subunit ribosomal RNA", at positions 1299 to 1458 of the family's 1831-position model. The record is from RNAcentral.
UGGUGGAGUGAUUUGUCUGGUUAAUCCCGUUAACGAACGAGACCUCAGCCUAUUAAAUAGUAUUAUGAUAUGGAAACAUAUAUAAAGACUUCUUAAAGGGACAUGUUGGGUUACCAGCGGGAAGUUUGAGGCAAUAACA